CAAGAAGACCCUAAGAAUUUUAAAGAUAAUAAUUUUAAUAUUAAAAUUAUUAUCUUUUGGUUGGGGCAACUAAAAAAGAUUAUAAACUUUUUAUUUAAUAAAAUGAUCCAUUAUUAAUGAUAAUUUGAUAAAAAUACUCUAGGGAUAACAGCGUAAUAAUUUUUGAUAGAACAUAUAGACAAUAAUAGUUUGCGACCUCGAUGUUGGAUUAGGAUACUUUUUUAAUGAAGAUGUUAAAAAAAGAAGUUUGUUCAACUUUUAAAGUCCUACUUGAUCUGAGUUCA
Molecule: ribosomal RNA, 284 nt
Filed under: Dermacentor andersoni
Lineage: Eukaryota; Metazoa; Arthropoda; Arachnida; Ixodida; Ixodidae
Description: partial 16S ribosomal RNA
Rfam family: Bacterial large subunit ribosomal RNA (bases 144-284)
Source: RNAcentral